This 497-nucleotide ribosomal RNA is filed under the name uncultured bacterium. Its description in RNAcentral is "partial 16S ribosomal RNA". It matches the Rfam family "Bacterial small subunit ribosomal RNA", at positions 28 to 507 of the family's 1533-position model. The record is from RNAcentral.
GAUGAACGCUGGCGGCGUGCCUAAUACAUGCAAGUCGAGCGAACGGACGAGAAGCUUGCUUCUCUGAUGUUAGCGGCGGACGGGUGAGCAACACGUGGAUAACCUACCUAUAAGACUGGGAUAACUUCGGGAAACCGUAGCUAAUACCGGAUAAUAUUUUGAACCGCAUGGUUCAAAAGUGAAAGACGGUCUUGCUGUCACUUAUAGAUGGAUCCGCGCUGCAUUAGCUAGUUGGUAAGGUAACGGCUUACCAAGGCAACGAUGCAUAGCCGACCUGAGAGGGUUGUCGGCCACACCUGAAGUGAGACCACGGUCCGACCCCUACGGGAGGGAGGCGGUGGGGAUCUUUCGCAAUUGGGGGAAGGCCGACGGAGCAACGCCGCGUGAGUGAUGAAGGUCUUCGGAUCGUAAAACUCUGUUAUUAGGGAAGAACAUAUGUGUAAGUAACUGUGCACAUCUUGACGGUACCUAAUCAGAAAGCCACGGCUAACUACGUG